Molecule: non-coding RNA, 22 nt
Filed under: Arabidopsis thaliana (thale cress)
Lineage: Eukaryota; Viridiplantae; Streptophyta; Magnoliopsida; Brassicales; Brassicaceae
Source: RNAcentral
AAGUCCUCGUGUUGCAUCCCUC